Molecule: ribosomal RNA, 497 nt
Filed under: uncultured bacterium
Lineage: Bacteria
Description: partial 16S ribosomal RNA
Rfam family: Bacterial small subunit ribosomal RNA
Source: RNAcentral
GAUGAACGCUGGCGGCGUGCCUAAUACAUGCAAGUCGAGCGAACAGAUAAUGAGCUUGCUCCUUUGACGUUAGCGGCGGACGGGUGAGUAACACGUGGGUAACCUACCUAUAAGACUGGAAUAACUCCGGGAAACCGGGGCUAAUGCCGGAUAACAUUUAGAACCGCAUGGUUCUAAAGUGAAAGAUGGUUUUUCUAUCACUUAUAGAUGGACCCGCGCCGUAUUAGCUAGUUGGUAAGGUAACGGCUUACCAAGGCAACGAUACGUAGCCGACCUGAGAGGGUGAUCGGCCACACUGGAACUGAGACACGGUCCAGACUCCUACGGGAGGCAGCAGUAGGGAAUCUUCCGCAAUGGGCGCAAGCCUGACGGAGCAACGCCGCGUGAGUGAUGAAGGUCUUCGGAUCGUAAAACUCUGUUAUUAGGGAAGAACAAAUGUGUAAGUAACUGUGCACGUCUUGACGGUACCUAAUCAGAAAGCCACGGCUAACUACGUG